UUUACAAUGAAGAGUUUGAUCCUGGCUCAGGAUGAACGCUAGCUACAGGCUUAACACAUGCAAGUCGAGGGGCAGCAUUUUAGUUUGCUUGCAAACUGAAGAUGGCGACCGGCGCACGGGUGAGUAACACGUAUCCAACCUGCCGAUAACUCCGGAAUAGCCUUUCGAAAGAAAGAUUAAUACCGGAUAGUAUACGAAUAUCGCAUGAUAUUUUUAUUAAAGAAUUUCGGUUAUCGAUGGGGAUGCGUUCCAUUAGUUUGUUGGCGGGGUAACGGCCCACCAAGACUACGAUGGAUAGGGGUUCUGAGAGGAAGGUCCCCCACAUUGGAACUGAGACACGGUCCAAACUCCUACGGGAGGCAGCAGUGAGGAAUAUUGGUCAAUGGGCGAGAGCCUGAACCAGCCAAGUAGCGUGAAGGAUGAAGGCUCUAUGGGUCGUAAACUUCUUUUAUAUGGGAAUAAAGUUUUCCACGUGUGGAAUUUUGUAUGUACCAUAUGAAUAAGGAUCGGCUAACUCCGUGCCAGCAGCCGCGGUAAUACGGAGGAUCCGAGCGUUAUCCGGAUUUAUUGGGUUUAAAGGGAGCGUAGGUGGAUUGUUAAGUCAGUUGUGAAAGUUUGCGGCUCAACCGUAAAAUUGCAGUUGAAACUGGCAGUCUUGAGUACAGUAGAGGUGGGCGGAAUUCGUGGUGUAGCGGUGAAAUGCUUAGAUAUCACGAAGAACUCCGAUUGCGAAGGCAGCUCACUAGACUGUCACUGACACUGAUGCUCGAAAGUGUGGGUAUCAAACAGGAUUAGAUACCCUGGUAGUCCACACAGUAAACGAUGAAUACUCGCUGUUUGCGAUAUACAGUAAGCGGCCAAGCGAAAGCAUUAAGUAUUCCACCUGGGGAGUACGCCGGCAACGGUGAAACUCAAAGGAAUUGACGGGGGCCCGCACAAGCGGAGGAACAUGUGGUUUAAUUCGAUGAUACGCGAGGAACCUUACCCGGGCUUAAAUUGCAACAGAAUAUAUUGGAAACAGUAUAGCCGUAAGGCUGUUGUGAAGGUGCUGCAUGGUUGUCGUCAGCUCGUGCCGUGAGGUGUCGGCUUAAGUGCCAUAACGAGCGCAACCCUUAUCUUUAGUUACUAACAGGUUAUGCUGAGGACUCUAGAGAGACUGCCGUCGUAAGAUGUGAGGAAGGUGGGGAUGACGUCAAAUCAGCACGGCCCUUACGUCCGGGGCUACACACGUGUUACAAUGGGGGGUACAGAAGGCGGCUACCUGGUGACAGGAUGCUAAUCCCAAAAACCUCUCUCAGUUCGGAUCGAAGUCUGCAACCCGACUUCGUGAAGCUGGAUUCGCUAGUAAUCGCGCAUCAGCCAUGGCGCGGUGAAUACGUUCCCGGGCCUUGUACACACCGCCCGUCAAGCCAUGAAAGCCGGGGGUACCUGAAGUACGUAACCGCAAGGAGCGUCCUAGGGUAAAACUGGUAAUUGGGGCUAAGUCGUAACAAGGUAGCCGUACCGGAAGGUGCGGCUGGAACACCUCCUUUCUG
This 1535-nucleotide ribosomal RNA is filed under the name Bacteroides ovatus. Its description in RNAcentral is "bacterial SSU rRNA". It matches the Rfam family "Bacterial small subunit ribosomal RNA". Lineage: Bacteria; Pseudomonadati; Bacteroidota; Bacteroidia; Bacteroidales; Bacteroidaceae. The record is from RNAcentral.